CAGUAGCCGCGGUAAUACGAAGGGUGCAAGCGUUACUCGGAAUUACUGGGCGUAAAGCGUGCGUAGGCGGUGAGUUAAGUCUGCUGUGAAAUCCCCGGGCUCAACCUGGGAAUGGCAGUGGAUACUGGCUCGCUAGAGUGUGUCAGAGGAUGGUGGAAUUCCCGGUGUAGCGGUGAAAUGCGUAGAGAUCGGGAGGAACAUCAGUGGCGAAGGCGGCCACCUGGACUGAUACUGACACUGAGGUGCGAAAGCGUGGGGAGCAAACAGGAUUAGAUACCCGAGUAGUCCCUGUCUCUUAUAC
Molecule: ribosomal RNA, 301 nt
Filed under: uncultured bacterium
Lineage: Bacteria
Description: partial 16S ribosomal RNA
Rfam family: Bacterial small subunit ribosomal RNA
Source: RNAcentral